UAGCUCCUACGGGGCGCAGCAGUGGGGAAUAUUGGGCAAUGGGCGCAAGCCUGACCCAGCAACGCCGCGUGAAGGAAGAAGGCUUUCGGGUUGUAAACUUCUUUUGUCAGGGACGAAGCAAGUGACGGUACCUGACGAAUAAGCCACGGCUAACUACGUGCCAGCAGCCGCGGUAAUACGUAGGGGGCAAGCGUUAUCCGGAUUUACUGGGUGUAAAGGGGGCGCAGACGGCAAUGCAAGCCAGGAGUGAAAGCCCGGGGCCCAACCCCGGGACUGCUCUUGGAACUGCGUGGCUAGAGGGCAGG
This 305-nucleotide ribosomal RNA is filed under the name uncultured bacterium. Its description in RNAcentral is "bacterial SSU rRNA". It matches the Rfam family "Bacterial small subunit ribosomal RNA", at positions 334 to 652 of the family's 1533-position model. The record is from RNAcentral.